Non-coding RNA from Miniopterus natalensis, 341 nucleotides. Lineage: Eukaryota; Metazoa; Chordata; Mammalia; Chiroptera; Miniopteridae. The record is from RefSeq and is a predicted model, not a curated record.
GUCCGGGCCUAGAGCUACAGCGCUGAUCUGGCAUCUGGGAUAAGCAUCAGCCCUGUUGUCUCUAGGCACAGGGGUGCUGCGGCAGACGAAGCUCCAGGCUCCCUAAGUUUUCCCCCUGAAUCCAGGACUCUGGCCUGCCCCUUCCUGUGCUCUCGUGGACCUCCCACCAGAGGAACCAGAUGAAGAUUUUUUUUAAAAGAAAAAGAAAACCAACAUGCAAAUGCUAAUCCACAGGUGAGUUCUAUUUGUGAAGAAGGGAAAUGUAUUAGUUGUUUGACUCUAUCCAAGAACUGAUGGUAAGGUUUCCUUAUAUGGCAAACUUCCUUUGAAAUCUAAAGGAA